CUGCAUCCCCAAGUCAGGUGUGAACACCCUCUGAGUUUAAGCAUAUCAAUAAGCGGAGGA
Molecule: ribosomal RNA, 60 nt
Filed under: Torreya nucifera (Japanese torreya)
Lineage: Eukaryota; Viridiplantae; Streptophyta; Pinopsida; Cupressales; Taxaceae
Description: partial 28S ribosomal RNA
Source: RNAcentral